This 458-nucleotide ribosomal RNA is filed under the name uncultured bacterium. RNAcentral's name for it is "partial 16S ribosomal RNA". It matches the Rfam family "Bacterial small subunit ribosomal RNA", at positions 338 to 795 of the family's 1533-position model. The record is from RNAcentral.
UCUACGGGCGGCAGCAGUGAGGAAUAUUGGUCAAUGGGCGCGAGCCUGAACCAGCCAAGUAGCGUGAAGGAGUACUGCCCUAUGGGUUGUAAACCUCUUUUGUCGGGGAGAAAAAGCCGGACGUGUCCGGCUGUGAGAGUACCCGAAGAAAAAGCAGAGGCUAACUCCGUGCCAGCAGCCGCGGUAAUACGGAGGAUGCGAGCGUUAUCCGGAUUUAUUGGGGUUAAAGGGUGCGCAGGCGGAUUUUUAAGUCAGCGGUCAAAUUGUGGGGCUAAACCCCAUCCAGCCGUUGAAACUGGGGAUCUAGAGUGCAGGAGGGGCAGGCGGAAUUCCUGGUGUAGCGGUGAAAUGCGUAGAUAUCAGGAGGAACACCGGUGGCGAAGGCGGCCUGCUGGACUGCAACUGACGUUGAGGCCCGAAAGCGUGGGGAGCAAACAGGAUUAGAUACCCGAGUAGUC